AUGUGUGUUCUGAAGAAGAAAGGUGGUAUGGGGUUUAGAUACCCUCAUGACUUUAAGUUUGCUAUGUUAACAAAGUAGUGUUACCGACUUCUCUAGAAUCCUGACUCUUUGUGUGCACGAGUGUUGAGUGCUAAAUAUCAUCCUAAUGGUGAUAUCCUAAAGGCAGGACCAAAGAAAGGGUCAUCGAGUAUGUGGCAAAGCAUUGUAGCAGGAAUUCAGACCUUCAAAAGGGGUUGUAUAUGGCGAGUGGGCUCUGGUUCAACAAACAUUUGGGAUGACUCUUGGAUCCCAUCUAGUGAGUCAAGGAAAUUGACCACCCCCAGAGGAGGAAUAAUGUUAACAAAGGUGGAAGAAAUCAUUGACCCCCAUACUGGACAGUGGGAUGAGGAGCUUAUAUGGGGUGUCUUUUCACCCGUGGAUGUUAACAAAAUAUUGUAGAUCCCUCUUAAUGUUGAAGCUCUUGAUGACUUUGUAGCUUGGCACUAUACUAGGUCCAGAACUUUCACAGUCCGGUCGGCCUACCAUGUGGAGUUUGAUCAUUAG
Molecule: ribosomal RNA, 543 nt
Filed under: Triticum aestivum (bread wheat)
Lineage: Eukaryota; Viridiplantae; Streptophyta; Magnoliopsida; Poales; Poaceae
Description: partial small subunit ribosomal RNA
Source: RNAcentral